Molecule: unclassified non-coding RNA, 371 nt
Filed under: soil metagenome
Description: partial contains 5.8S ribosomal RNA, internal transcribed spacer 2, and large subunit ribosomal RNA
Rfam family: 5.8S ribosomal RNA (bases 1-120)
Source: RNAcentral
GAUGAAGAACGCAGCAAAAUGCGAUAAGUAGUGUGAAUUGCAGAAUUCAGUGAAUCAUCGAAUCUUUGAACGCACAUUGCGCCCGCCAGUAUUCUGGCGGGCAUGCCUGUUCGAGCGUCAUUUCAACCCUCAGGCCCCCAGUGCCUGGCGUUGGGGAUCGGCGUGGGCGGCGAACGGCUCUCCGGAGCCCGAGCCAAUGCCUGCCGGCCCCGAAAUUCAGUGGCGGUCUCGCUGUAGUCCCCCUCUGCGUAGUAGCACAACUCGCAUUGGAGCUCGGCGGUGGCCAUGCCGUAAAACACCCCACUUCUGAAAGUUGACCUCGGAUCAGGUAGGAAUACCCGCUGAACUUAAGCAUAUCAAUAAGCGGAGGA